This is a long non-coding RNA of Magnolia sinica, 2612 nucleotides long. RefSeq lists it as uncharacterized. The record is from RefSeq and is a predicted model, not a curated record. NCBI's taxonomy places the organism in Eukaryota, Viridiplantae, Streptophyta, Magnoliopsida, Magnoliales, Magnoliaceae. The transcript is spliced from 3 exons.
CCCAUGAUCGAAUGAUCUAGACUGAAACUUAUAGGUCCAUUGAAGAUGUGGUAUGCCCCAAAAUUCUCCUAGACUGGGAUGUCCUUAAAGUCCUAAUGGUUUGAUGCACGGCCUACCAAAUUGUUAAGAAGAAAAUAUAGCAACAGCCCAAAGAAAAGGUCAAACUUGGAUGUCUAGGAUCUGCCAAUCUGGGAAUUUUCUGUCUAUACACCACCAGCAGUGGGACCAAUCAGAGCAAAGGGACAAACUCAGCUAGUGGACCAACAACUUUCAGUCUUUCACCAACUUCCCCGCCUAGAUCCUACCACAAAAGCCAUUCAUAAGGUAAUUCCUUUGAACCAGGUCCAAAUCAACUGUGUAGACUCGGUUUGGAGUCAACACAGUAACAAUUAUGAUAAGUCAUGAUUUAAAAUAAUCUUAGUCAUAGGAGUGUAAGGCCUUAAUCUGACCCUAUAAAUUCAUGGUUUAGGUUAGGAUUCGAUCCUAAGAGGCAUAGACAUCUUCUAACAAUGAUAUUAAGCAAAUUAAACCAUAAGGUGAUGAAUCAUUCCCCUUGAGUUUUCAUCUUUUAUGUUUGUUUAAGUAAUAGUUCAACUUAUAUUUCAGUUCAUAAUUAUCUCCAAUUCAUGAUUACUCAUGUUAGUUAUUGAAUCUGAUUAUCAAUGUUAUAUGCUUAACCUUUAACUCGUAUGAACAUUUAUAUGUUGUACUUGUAUAUGUUUCCAUACUUGUAGAUUUUCUAAAUUGGCUGUUUGUAAAUUCUAAAAAGAUGCAAAUUUUAUCAUUCUCUUUUUGUGAGAGGUAUAUAUUGGUUUAUAUGCAGGCAUUUCAAAAUCAAUGUAUAAAAUUGUAACACAUUUUGGCCAACAAUCUUUAAAUGUUCUAAGACAAUGUCCUCAACUCGUAAUGAUUCAUGCAUUCACAUCAUGCUCAUUUUAAAGGGUUAAUAAUAUCUCUAUUUCUUUAAUGCAGGACUAUUUGGCAACGUAAAUAUUUGGAAUGGGUGGUAUAGGAAAAGGUAAUUAAAUAUUUUGUACAUAUUUUCUAAAUAUAAUUUAUGGCUGAUUAGUUAUUUGAUAUCAUUUGACUAUGACUACAUAUGAUGCUUGAUAUACACACUUAAAAAAAUAGGGAUUUUUCCAUAUGUCUCCAUAACUUUUUCGCUAUGACCAAAAACCUCAUGCUUUUCUCAAAACCAGCCCAUAUUUUAACAGCACAACUAUUAACAUCGAAGACUUGAGUGAACCACAUCGUUGGAAGCAGUAGUGACAAUGACGCCCACGCCCACGGUUGAAACCUUCGUAUGGUCCACGGUUAGGUUUAUUUUCUAUCCUCAUGAGGUCACACAGACCAUAUUUUAACAGCACAGCUAUUAUUAUUUUUAUUUUUUUCUACUGAUGAAGCUUUAUGUUGUACUAGCAAUGUGAGAUUCUCAGACUUCCUAUCAGCUGCCAAAUAUCAAUACUAAUGCAAUACCAUUAAAAAAGUAUGUUACUGAUGUAUCAAACCAAACAAGGCAAAAGAGAGUUCUAACAUAGGCUACUCUAGUAUUAACACUAGAGAAGGAAAAUCCUCUACACAGAGCUACUAGACACACUUAAUAUGCUGAAUAUAACAACUACAGCUUGAAAGCAAACACUACUCAUUAUAUACUUGCAAAAUAGCUAAUACUGCUAACUACUACUGGGAUUCAAGCAAUCCAACCAGUCCCAAAACCCACUUUCGUCUACAAGAGUUGUUCACUCCACGAGCAAGAUGACAAACUGAGCCGCAUUUCGAAUGCAAGUGAAGGAAGAAAUUCCUUGAACAAGGAAAGCCGCCUAGUUGACAUUGAAGUUACUUAAGAUAUGUUAUUUAAUUUCCUAUUUUCCUAAGGAAUAGGCCUAAAUGGCUCAUUAUGCUUUAACAUCGAGGUGUUAUCCUAAAAUCUAUAAUUUAAUUAUUUCAAAUUGUUAAAGUUGUAUUACUACACGUUCACAAAGCUCUUAAUCCUUACUAACUACUUUGUAAUUAGUAAGGAAGUUUUGUAAAAAUCGUACCUUGGUGGGCUUGCUUAUGGGUGUAUCCAAGGCGUACAUGUGAUGAGUUCCUCGUUCUUGUGCUUAAGGUUACGAGGCUUGAGCAGGAUUUGAAGAAGCCUGAAUCGGUGGCUGAGGUUGUUGUACUGGAGGGAAGAUCCUCUCAUCUCAUUGUUUCUUGAAACAUCGGCUUAAGAUAUGACCCGAUUUGCCACAAUAGCUGCAAAGCUUAUCUUAACUCGAAGAAUGAAUUGGCUGAUAUAUGAAUUUCACCCUCUUCUCAGUCAUAGGAGAUGCAGACGGCGUCAUCUUGGCUUUACUUGCUAAACCUCGAAUAAGGGUACGUGCUUUGGUUAUAUGCGAAGUCCCAUAGUGUUGUCCACCUAAGAUUUUGAUUUACCUCAUUUAUGGGAUAUAAUAUUAAAAUGAUGUGUAAAAAUUGAUGGAGGGUGUGGAUAGAACACAUAGAUCAUGGUGAGGCCCACAGAGCACCUAUCACUAGUCACAUGGCUAAUGGCAACGUCAUUAGCCAAACCGCAUCUGUUGUAUUCUACUUGAUGCUUGGAUGUUUUAAUAUAGAUAGUUCGAUUUGAA